AACGAACGCUGGCGGCGUGCCUAACACAUGCAAGUCGAACGAGAAAGUUUCCUUCGGGAAACCAGUAAAGUGGCGCAAGGGUGAGUAACACGUGAAUAAUCUGCCUAUGAAUUCGGGAUAACUCGACGAAAGUUGUGCUAAUACCGGAUAAGACCACGUUUCUUGUGUAAUGUGGCCAAAGGAGUCUCAAACUCCGUUUAUAGAUGAGUUCGCGUACCAUUAGCUUGUUGGCGGGAUAACAGCCCACCAAGGCUACGAUGGUUAGCCGACCUGAGAGGGUGAUCGGCCACACUGGAACUGAGACACGGUCCAGACUCCUACGGGAGGCAGCAGUGGGGAAUAUUGCGCAAUGGGCGAAAGUCUGAACCAGCCAUGCCGCGUGCAGGAUG
This 389-nucleotide ribosomal RNA is filed under the name uncultured Nitrospina sp. Its description in RNAcentral is "bacterial SSU rRNA". It matches the Rfam family "Bacterial small subunit ribosomal RNA", at positions 29 to 410 of the family's 1533-position model. The record is from RNAcentral. Lineage: Bacteria; Pseudomonadati; Nitrospinota; Nitrospinia; Nitrospinales; Nitrospinaceae.